AUUGAACGCUGGCGGCAUGCCUUACACAUGCAAGUCGAACGGUAACGGGCCUUCGGGUGCCGACGAGUGGCGAACGGGUGAGUAAUGCAUCGGAACGUACCUUUCAGUGGGGGAGUAACGUAGCGAAAGUUACGCUAAUACCGCAUAUUCUGUGAGCAGGAAAGCAGGGGAUCGCAAGACCUUGCGCUGAUUGAGCGGCCGAUGUCAGAUUAGCUAGUUGGUGAGGUAAAGGACUCACCAAGGCGACGAUCUGUAGCGGGUCGUGAGAGGAGUGAUCCGCCACACUGGAACUGAGACACGGUCC
RNAcentral lists this ribosomal RNA (304 nucleotides) under uncultured bacterium. RNAcentral describes it as "bacterial SSU rRNA". It matches the Rfam family "Bacterial small subunit ribosomal RNA", at positions 30 to 332 of the family's 1533-position model. The record is from RNAcentral.